CCACGUCAAACUGUUGUGGGGCGAUAAAGUGGAUAUGUGCAUCUAUUCCACCUGCAGUGACUAUUUUUCCUGCGCAGCCAUGCACAUCAGUGGAGGCUCCGAUUACCAUCCCCGGUGUUAUUCCUUCUUGGGUGUCGGGGUUACCUGCUUUGCCUAUACCUACUAUCCUACCAUUUUUGAUACCGAUAUCCGCUUUUACAAUACCCCAAUGAUCUACAAUGGUACAGCUGGUGAGGCAUAGAUCCAGUACAUCAGAUUCAGUGGCCGUAGUACUCUGCCCCAUUCCAUCCCUGAUGG
RNAcentral lists this small RNA (297 nucleotides) under Indibacter alkaliphilus LW1. RNAcentral describes it as "5' ureB small RNA". It matches the Rfam family "5' ureB small RNA". Lineage: Bacteria; Pseudomonadati; Bacteroidota; Cytophagia; Cytophagales; Cyclobacteriaceae. The record is from Rfam by way of RNAcentral.